GAUGAACGCUGGCGGCGUGCCUAAUACAUGCCAGUCGAGCGAACAGACGAGGAGCUUGCUCCUCUGACGUUAGCGGCGGACGGGUGAGUAACACGUGGAUAACCUACCUAUAAGACUGGGAUAACUUCGGGAAACCGGAGCUAAUACCGGAUAAUAUAUUGAACCGCAUGGUUCAAUAGUGAAAGACGGUUUUGCUGUCACUUAUAGAAGGAUCCGCGCCGCAUUAGCUAGUUGGUAAGGUAACGGCUUACCAAGGCAACGAUGCGUAGCCGACCUGAGAGGGUGAUCGGCCACACUGGAACUGAGACACGGUCCAGACUCCUACGGGAGGCAGCAGUAGGGAAUCUUCCGCAAUGGGCGAAAGCCUGACGGAGCAACGCCGCGUGAGUGAUGAAGGUCUUCGGAUCGUAAAACUCUGUUAUUAGGGAAGAACAAAUGUGUAAGUAACUAUGCACGUCUUGACGGUACCUAAUCAGAAAGCCACGGCUAACUACGUG
RNAcentral lists this ribosomal RNA (497 nucleotides) under uncultured bacterium. RNAcentral describes it as "partial 16S ribosomal RNA". It matches the Rfam family "Bacterial small subunit ribosomal RNA", at positions 28 to 507 of the family's 1533-position model. The record is from RNAcentral.